UCGAACGAGCGAGAGAGAGCUUGCUUUCUCAAGCGAGUGGCGAACGGGUGAGUAACGCGUGAGGAACCUGCCUCAAAGAGGGGGACAACAGUUGGAAACGACUGCUAAUACCGCAUAAGCCCACGGCUCGGCAUCGAGCAGAGGGAAAAGGAGCAAUCCGCUUUGAGAUGGCCUCGCGUCCGAUUAGCUAGUUGGUGAGGUAACGGCCCACCAAGGCGACGAUCGGUAGCCGGACUGAGAGGUUGAACGGCCACAUUGGGACUGAGACACGGCCCAGACUCCUACGGGAGGCAGCAGUGGGGAAUAUUGCACAAUGGGGGAAACCCUGAUGCAGCGACGCCGCGUGGAGGAAGAGGGUCUUCGGAUUGUAAACUCCUGUUGUUGAGGAAGAUAAUGACGGUACUCAACAAGGAAGUGACGGCUAACUACGUGCCAGCAGCCGCGGUAAAACGUAGGUCACAAGCGUUGUCCGGAAUUACUGGGUGUAAAGGGAGCGCAGGCGGGAAGACAAGUUGGAAGUGAAAUCCAUGGGCUCAACCCAUGAACUGCUUUCAAAACUGUUUUUCUUGAGUAGUGCAGAGGUAGGCGGAAUUCCCGGUGUAGCGGUGGAAUGCGUAGAUAUCGGGAGGA
RNAcentral lists this ribosomal RNA (630 nucleotides) under uncultured Lachnospiraceae bacterium. RNAcentral's name for it is "bacterial SSU rRNA". It matches the Rfam family "Bacterial small subunit ribosomal RNA", at positions 62 to 705 of the family's 1533-position model. The record is from RNAcentral. Lineage: Bacteria; Bacillati; Bacillota; Clostridia; Lachnospirales; Lachnospiraceae.